UGGUUCUGGCACCGAUGAAGAACGCAGCGAAAUGCGAUAAGUAAUGUGAAUUGCAGAAUUCCGCGAAUCAUCAAAUCUUUGAACGCACAUUGCGCCCGCUAGUACUCUAGCGGGCAUGCCUGUUCGAGCGUCAUUUCGACCAUCAAGCCUUAAUUGCUUGUGUUGGAGCACUAUAAGCGAAAGCUGUAGGCUCUGAAAUAUAGCGGCGGACCUGUUGCGAUCCCGAACGUAGUAAAUAUCAGCUCGUUUAGGGUAUUCAACUGGUAAUUUCUAGCCGUUAAACCCCCAAAUUUUACAUGGUUGACCUCGGAUCAGGUAGGAAUACCCGCUGA
RNAcentral lists this unclassified non-coding RNA (332 nucleotides) under uncultured fungus. Its description in RNAcentral is "partial contains 5.8S ribosomal RNA and internal transcribed spacer 2". The stretch from base 1 to 133 matches the Rfam family "5.8S ribosomal RNA", at positions 22 to 154 of the family's 154-position model. Lineage: Eukaryota; Fungi. The record is from RNAcentral.